RNAcentral lists this ribosomal RNA (490 nucleotides) under uncultured bacterium. Its description in RNAcentral is "partial 16S ribosomal RNA". It matches the Rfam family "Bacterial small subunit ribosomal RNA", at positions 29 to 507 of the family's 1533-position model. The record is from RNAcentral.
GUGAACGCUGGCGGUAGGCCUAACCCCUGCCAGUCGAACGGCAGCACAGUAAGAGCUUGCUCUUACGGGUGGCGAGUGGCGGACGGGUGAGGAAUACAUCGGAAUCUACUUUUUCGUGGGGGAUAACGUAGGGAAACUUACGCUAAUACCGCAUACGACCUACGGGUGAAAGCAGGGGAUCUUCGGACCUUGCGCGAUUGAAUGAGCCGAUGUCGGAUUAGCUAGUUGGGGGGUAAAGGCCCACCAAGGCGACGAUCCGUAGCUGGUCUGAGAGGAUGAUCAGCCACACUGGAACUGAGACACGGUCCAGACUCCUACGGGAGGCAGCAGUGGGGAAUAUUGGACAAAGGGCGCAAGCCUGAUCCAGCCAUACCGCGUGGGUGAAGAAGGCCUUCGGGUUGUAAAGCCCUUUUGUUGGGAAAGAAAAGCAGCAGGUUAAUACCCCGCUGUUCUGACGGUACCCAAAGAAUAAGCACCGGCUAACUUCGUG